AUGAACGCUGGCGGCGUGCCUAAUACAUGCAAGUCGAGCGAACGGACGAGAAGCUUGCUUCUCUGAUGUUAGCGGCGGACGGGUGAGUAACACGUGGAUAACCUACCUAUAAGACUGGGAUAACUUCGGGAAACCGGAGCUAAUACCGGAUAAUAUUUUGAACCGCAUGGUUCAAAAGUGAAAGACGGUCUUGCUGUCACUUAUAGAUGGAUCCGCGCUGCAUUAGCUAGUUGGUAAGGUAACGGCUUACCAAGGCAACGAUGCAUAGCCGACCUGAGAGGGUGAUCGGCCACACUGGAACUGAGACACGGUCCAGACUCCUACGGGAGGCAGCAGUAGGGAAUCUUCCGCAAUGGGCGAAAGCCUGACGGAGCAACGCCGCGUGAGUGAUGAAGGUCUUCGGAUCGUAAAACUCUGUUAUUGGGGAAGAACAUAUGUGUAAGUAACUGUGCACAUCUUGACGGUACCUAAUCAGAAAGCCACGGCUAACUACGU
Molecule: ribosomal RNA, 495 nt
Filed under: uncultured bacterium
Lineage: Bacteria
Description: partial 16S ribosomal RNA
Rfam family: Bacterial small subunit ribosomal RNA
Source: RNAcentral